ACACUCCUGCGGGAGGCAGCAGUGGGGAAUAUUGCACAAUGGGCGCAAGCCUGAUGCAGCGACGCCGCGUGGGGGAUGAAGGCCUUCGGGUUGUAAACUCCUUUCGCUAGGGACGAAGCUUUUUUGUGACGGUACCUAGAUAAGAAGCACCGGCUAACUACGUGCCAGCAGCCGCGGUAAUACGUAGGGUGCGAGCGUUGUCCGGAAUUACUGGGCGUAAAGGGCUCGUAGGUGGUUUGUCGCGUCGUCUGUGAAAUUCUGGGGCUUAACUCCGGGCGUGCAGGCGAUACGGGCAUAACUUGAGUGCUGUAGGGGUAACUGGGAUUCCUGGUGUAGCGGUGAAAUGCGCAGAUAUCAGGAGGAACACCGAUGGCGAAGGCAGGUUACUGGGCAGUUACUGACGCUGAGGAGCGAAAGCAUGGGUAGCGAACAGGAUUAGAAACCCUAGUAGUCCCAUGA
RNAcentral lists this ribosomal RNA (459 nucleotides) under uncultured organism. RNAcentral's name for it is "partial 16S ribosomal RNA". It matches the Rfam family "Bacterial small subunit ribosomal RNA", at positions 333 to 800 of the family's 1533-position model. The record is from RNAcentral.